RNAcentral lists this ribosomal RNA (254 nucleotides) under uncultured bacterium. Its description in RNAcentral is "partial 16S ribosomal RNA". It matches the Rfam family "Bacterial small subunit ribosomal RNA", at positions 524 to 776 of the family's 1533-position model. The record is from RNAcentral.
UACGUAGGGUCCAAGCGUUGUCCGGAUUUAUUGGGCGUAAAGAGCUCGUAGGCGGUUUCGUAAGUCGGAUGUGAAAACUCAGGGCUCAACCCGGAGACGCCAUCCGAUACUGCGAUGACUUGAGUCUGGUAGGGGAACACGGAAUUCCUGGUGUAGCGGUGAAAUGCGCAGAUAUCAGGAGGAACACCGAUGGCGAAGGCAGUGUUCUGGGCCAGUACUGACGCUGAGACGCGAAAGCCAGGGGAGCGAACGGG